UACGUAGGGUGCAAGCGUUAAUCGGAAUUACUGGGCGUAAAGCGUGCGCAGGCGGUGAUGUAAGACAGAUGUGAAAUCCCCGGGCUCAACCUGGGAACUGCAUUUGUGACUGCAUCGCUGGAGUACGGCAGAGGGGGAUGGAAUUCCGCGUGUAGCAGUGAAAUGCGUAGAUAUGCGGAGGAACACCGAUGGCGAAGGCAAUCCCCUGGGCCUGUACUGACGCUCCAUGCACGAAAAGCGUGGGGAGCAAACAGG
This 255-nucleotide ribosomal RNA is filed under the name uncultured bacterium. RNAcentral describes it as "partial 16S ribosomal RNA". It matches the Rfam family "Bacterial small subunit ribosomal RNA", at positions 524 to 776 of the family's 1533-position model. The record is from RNAcentral.